Molecule: ribosomal RNA, 210 nt
Filed under: uncultured bacterium
Lineage: Bacteria
Description: partial 16S ribosomal RNA
Rfam family: Bacterial small subunit ribosomal RNA
Source: RNAcentral
GACAGAGGGUGCAAACGUUUGUUCGGAAUACUGGGCGUAAAGCGCGUGUAGGCGGUCUCGCAAGUCGGAAUGUGAAAGCCCAGGGCUCAACCCUGGAAGUGCACUCGAUACUGCGAGGCUAGAGUCCGGAGAGGAUGGUGGAACUCUCGGUGUAGAGGUGAAAUUCGUAGAUAUCGGAGAAGAACACCGGUGGCGAAGGCGGCGAUCUGG